UUGAAUUUUAAUGAAGAGUUUGGUUGUAGCUGGCCCAUUCAUUUGGGCAUGUGCACACCUUCCUCUUUCACCCCACACACACCUGUGAACCUGUGAGACAGAGAUGGGGAAUUUACUUGCUGCUUUUUGGAAUACAAAGGCAAUAGGUUAUUGGACCCCCCCUCUGUCUACUCGAUUAAUAUAAACUCAAUUUAUUUUAAAACGAAUGUAAUGGAUGUAACACAUCUCAUAC
This 232-nucleotide unclassified non-coding RNA is filed under the name soil metagenome. Its description in RNAcentral is "partial internal transcribed spacer 1". The record is from RNAcentral.